UACGGAGGAUGCAAGCGUUAUCCGGAUUCAUUGGGUUUAAAGGGUGCGCAGGCGGAAUGAUAAGUCAGUGGUGAAAUCCUACAGCUCAACUGUAGAACUGCCAUUGAUACUGUUGUUCUUGAGUACAUUUGUAGUGGGCGGAAUGUGUCAUGUAGCGGUGAAAUGCUUAGAGAUGACACAGAACACCGAUCGCGAAGGCAGCUCACUAAACUGUAACUGACGCUCAGGCACGAAAGCGUGGGGAU
Molecule: ribosomal RNA, 245 nt
Filed under: uncultured Cryomorphaceae bacterium
Lineage: Bacteria; Pseudomonadati; Bacteroidota; Flavobacteriia; Flavobacteriales; Cryomorphaceae
Description: partial 16S ribosomal RNA
Rfam family: Bacterial small subunit ribosomal RNA
Source: RNAcentral